This 500-nucleotide ribosomal RNA is filed under the name uncultured bacterium. Its description in RNAcentral is "partial 16S ribosomal RNA". It matches the Rfam family "Bacterial small subunit ribosomal RNA", at positions 30 to 523 of the family's 1533-position model. The record is from RNAcentral.
AUUGAACGCUGGCGGAAUGCUUUACACAUGCAAGCCGAACGGCAGCACGGACUUCGGUCUGGUGGCGAGUGGCGAACGGGUGAGUAAUGUAUCGGAACGUGCCCAGUCGUGGGGGAUAACGUAGUGAAAAUUACGCUAAUACCGCAUACGAUCUAUGGAUGAAAGCGGGGGAUCGCAAGACCUCGCGCGAUUGGAGCGGCCGAUAUCAGAUUAGGUAGUUGGUGGGGUAAAGGCCCACCAAGCCAACGAUCUGUAGCUGGUCUGAGAGGACGACCAGCCAAACUGGAACUGAGACACGGGCCAGACUCCUACGGGGGGCAGCAGGGGGGAAUUUUGGACAAUGGGCGAAAGCCUGAUCCAGCCAUUCCGCGUGCAGGAUGAAGGCCCUCGGGUUGUAAACUGCUUUUGUACAGAACGAAAAGGUUUCUACUAAUACUAGGAGCUCAUGACGGUACUGUAAGAAUAAGCACCGGCUAACUACGUGCCAGCAGCCGCCGUAA